CCUACGGGUGGCUGCAGUGGGGAAUAUUGCACAAUGGGGGAAACCCUGAUGCAGCAACGCCGCGUGAGUGAAGAAGUAUUUCGGUAUGUAAAGCUCUAUCAGCAGGGAAGAAGAAGACGGUACCUGAAGAAGAAGCCGCGGCUAACUACGUGACAGCAGCCGCGGUAAUACGUAGGGGGCAAGCGUUAUCCGGAUUUACUGGGUGUAAAGGGAGUGCAGAGGGCAGUGCAAGUCUGGAGUGAAAGCCAGGGGGCCAACCCCGGAACUGCUCUGGAAACUGGGCGGCUAGAGUACUGGAGGGGCAGGCGGAAUGCGUAGUGUAGCGGUGAAAUGCGUAGAUAUUAGGAGGAACACCAGUGGCGAAGGCGGCCUGCUGGACAGUAACUGACGUUGAGGCUCGAAAGCGUGGGUAGCAAACAGGAUUAGAUACCCCUGUAGUC
RNAcentral lists this ribosomal RNA (440 nucleotides) under uncultured bacterium. RNAcentral's name for it is "partial 16S ribosomal RNA". It matches the Rfam family "Bacterial small subunit ribosomal RNA", at positions 338 to 795 of the family's 1533-position model. The record is from RNAcentral.